RNAcentral lists this long non-coding RNA (316 nucleotides) under Ananas comosus (pineapple). RNAcentral's name for it is "long non-coding RNA (ACOM_LNC038819)". Lineage: Eukaryota; Viridiplantae; Streptophyta; Magnoliopsida; Poales; Bromeliaceae. The record is from RNAcentral.
UAUAAAAAGGUUUACAAAGGAACGGAAAAGGCUUUUUAAACAAGAAUUAUCUAUUUCAGAGAUAGAUACAAGUUCAGGUAUAAAUUUGGAGUAAAUUAAUUUUGCGUUUGGUUGAAAAUUGAGUUGUUUUCGAAAAUAAGAAAAAUAGCGUUUGGAUAGAUAAGAUGGAAUAAUAAGAAUAAUAGAUAGUUUAUAAAUAAAAAAAUAAUGAUAUUACCCCUUAUAUUUGUAGUAUCCCUUGUAUUCUGUAGCUGUGUGAUUUCAGCAUCUGAGGCUUGUCGACACAUUUGUAGAGUGUCGGGACAAGUCCGGAUUG